UAGAGUUUGAUCMUGGCUCAGGAUGAACGCUGGCGGCGUGCCUAAUACAUGCAAGUCGAACGAGUUCUCGUUGAUGAUCGGUGCUUGCACCGAGAUUCAACAUGGAACGAGUGGCGGACGGGUGAGUAACACGUGGGUAACCUGCCCUUAAGUGGGGGAUAACAUUUGGAAACAGAUGCUAAUACCGCAUAGAUCCAAGAACCGCAUGGUUCUUGGCUGAAAGAUGGCGUAAGCUAUCGCUUUUGGAUGGACCCGCGGCGUAUUAGCUAGUUGGUGAGGUAAUGGCUCACCAAGGCGAUGAUACGUAGCCGAACUGAGAGGUUGAUCGGCCACAUUGGGACUGAGACACGGCCCAAACUCCUACGGGAGGCAGCAGUAGGGAAUCUUCCACAAUGGACGCAAGUCUGAUGGAGCAACGCCGCGUGAGUGAAGAAGGCUUUCGGGUCGUAAAACUCUGUUGUUGGAGAAGAAUGGUCGGCAGAGUAACUGUUGUCGGCGUGACGGUAUCCAACCAGAAAGCCACGGCUAACUACGUGCCAGCAGCCGCGGUAAUACGUAGGUGGCAAGCGUUAUCCGGAUUUAUUGGGCGUAAAGCGAGCGCAGGCGGUUUUUUAAGUCUGAUGUGAAAGCCCUCGGCUUAACCGAGGAAGCGCAUCGGAAACUGGGAAACUUGAGUGCAGAAGAGGACAGUGGAACUCCAUGUGUAGCGGUGAAAUGCGUAGAUAUAUGGAAGAACACCAGUGGCGAAGGCGGCUGUCGGUCUGUAACKACGCKRGGCCCCAAUGGCU
This 788-nucleotide ribosomal RNA is filed under the name bacterium. Its description in RNAcentral is "bacterial SSU rRNA". The record is from RNAcentral.